Molecule: ribosomal RNA, 465 nt
Filed under: uncultured bacterium
Lineage: Bacteria
Description: partial 16S ribosomal RNA
Rfam family: Bacterial small subunit ribosomal RNA
Source: RNAcentral
GACGAACGCUGGCGGCGUGCUUAACACAUGCAAGUCGUACGGUAAGGCCCUUUCGGGGGUCCACGAGUGGCGAACGGGUGAGUAACACGUGAGUAACCUGCCCACAACUUUGGGAUAACGCUAGGAAACUGGUGCUAAUACUGGAUAUGUGCUCCUGCUGCAUGGUGGGGGUUGGAAAGCUCCGGCGGUUGUGGAUGGGCUCGCGGCCUAUCAGCUUGUUGGUGGGGUAGUGGCCUACCAAGGCGGCGACGGGUAGCCGGCCUGAGAGGGUGACCGGCCACAUUGGGACUGAGAUACGGCCCAGACUCCUACGGGAGGCAGCAGUGGGGAAUAUUGCACAAUGGGCGCAAGCCUGAUGCAGCAACGCCGCGUGCGGGAUGACGGCCUUCGGGUUGUAAACCGCUUUCAGCAGGGACGAAGCUUUUUGUGACGGUACCUGCAGAAGAAGCACCGGCUAACUACGUG